RNAcentral lists this ribosomal RNA (468 nucleotides) under uncultured bacterium. RNAcentral describes it as "partial 16S ribosomal RNA". It matches the Rfam family "Bacterial small subunit ribosomal RNA", at positions 28 to 507 of the family's 1533-position model. The record is from RNAcentral.
GACGAACGCUGGCGGCGCGCCUAACACAUGCAAGUCGAACGGAGUCAAGAGGAGCUUGCUUUUCUUGACUUAGUGGCGAACGGGUGAGUAACGCGUGAGUAACCUGCCCUGGAGUGGGGGACAACAGUUGGAAACGGCUGCUAAUACCGCAUAAGCCCACGGAUCUGCAUGGAUCUGCGGGAAACGGAUUUAUUCGCUCUAGGAUGGACUCGCGUCCAAUUAGCUAGUUGGUGAGGUAACGGCCCACCAAGGCGACGAUUGGUAGCCGGACUGAGAGGUUGAACGGACACAUCGGGACUGAGACACGGCCCAGAAUCCUACGGGAGGCAGCAGUGGGGGAUAUUGCAAAACGGGGGAAACCCUGAUGCAGCGACGCCGGGUGGAGGAAGAAGGUUUUAGGAUAGUAAACUCCUGUCGUUAGGGACGAUAAUGACGGUACCUAAAAAGAAAGCACCGGCUAACUACGUG